CGCACCGCGCCUCACACCGCGCCCUGCCCCAGCUCAACUUCCCCUGGCCAUCCUCAGCACCCUUGGCUCCCUCGAAUCUUACAUCUCCUCAAAUCUUCUCGAACCUGCCGGGCCGCCGGCCACAGCCCCCUCAGUGCCUCGCAUGGUGUUGUUUGCACACACCUUCCCGUGCCCACCCCCAGCCCCACCGAACAGGGACGUGCUGGGGUCCCUGUCCCUGGAGGUGCUCAGGGAAGGGUGGAUGUGGCUCUCAGGGCCAUGCUCUGGUUGACAAGGUGCUGUUGGGGCACAGGUUGAGCUCGCUGAUGUCAGAGGCCUUUUCCGACCUCCAUUGAUGUCUCUGCCUCAUCAGAUCUCUUCCUGGUUGUGCCCCUCGCUGUGUUAUGGAGGACGCUGGUGGCGUGGCAGCCUCCCCACAACCCCGGGCUGGCCCUGUCAGGGGAGCUGUGCUGGGAGAGAGAACUGAGCACCUGCAGUACCCCAACAAUCACACUACAUAAAUUACACUACAUAAAUCAGAGCAUAUACCACCAAUGAUGUGGCUUCUUAAAGUUCAUUUCAAUGGAAGGAAGGAGAAAAUUCUCUGUAACUCCAGAGAUGUCAGAGGUUCACACAAAACAGUUCCUGUGUCUUUUUUUUUUUACACUUGCCACCAUCAUUUGUCAAAUGCUUCUCUACAUCAUGUAGAUGGAAAAGAAACACCACAGAAAUGAUCCCUGUGGGACCCCAGGGAUGGAUUUUCCAGGAGGGAUCGCUCCAUGCUGCUGCUGCUCUGUGUGGAACACUCUGGGCCCUGACACCAAGGUGGCUCUGUGGUCACACACCCCCUGCUCCUGGCAGGACAAAACUUUCUGCACCAUUGUCCAGAAUAACUGCUCAAGUAGUGAAAUAUUGAUUGAAGAGAAGCUUCACUUACUGGCAGAGCUGCAGACUUGCUUUCACUGUCAGUUCUAGUUCCUCUCCUCUGCCUUUGUCACGUUACUUCACGUUCCAGCUCCCUCCUUCUGAGCACAGAUUUGAUUUUUACUGCAAUUUCUGGAAAUUGCAGAAAAGUAACACCCACUGGGCAGAGGAAGCUGAAGCCAAACUUUUAUCAGAGUCCCCGGCUGAGGAAAUGGCACAGCCAUGGCCCUGCCUGAGGCAGGAGGAUGGCCCAGACAGCCACCUGAGCUUCCACAAAACGUGAGCAGUGAAGCCUUUUACCGUCCCUGUUAGUCCAAAAUUCAGCCUGAAAUUUCAUAUAACCUUUUAGUUUCAGUGUUUUACUCCUCCUGAAGAAUCUUAAUGAAUCAGUUCUGAAAAAAUCCCAGGCACUGAAGUGCUCAGUUUGACCCAAGAAGACAACAGAUGCUGUUUCAAAUUGUGACUGCGACUCAGAUCCUCCUUUGAGCUCUGCUUUCCACUCCUGCCUGUGUCAAUUUACUUGAUUUAUCAUCAAAAGAUCAAUCAAUUGAUCCUGCCUGUUUUCUCUGUGUUUAAUUACUUAUGCUAUUAUUUUCUAUUUAAGGUACUGGGAGGUGAGAAGAACCCUGGCUGGGGAAGACCAUGUGCUUCUACCCAAAUCCCCCUUCAUGUGUGAUGCCUCUGGCUCCUAUGAUCCCCCUUCUCCUUUUAUUUCAGCUCUGAAAAGCAGUGGACAACUUGGUUUGGACCUUCUCAAGUCCAUCAUCACCACUAAGAAGCAGAACUACUACAACAGAGGAAACUCUGAGAAACUGGAGCUGACAAUAAUCACUGCUAAAACCUGCAAAGGAGCUGGCCAGACAGCAGCACUGGGAACAAGCUGUGGGGGGAGAAGCCACACUGGGAACUACAAAGGCCCCACUCUUGCAGGGUCUGGGCUGCAGGGGAGGGGAGCAAAGCAAAGCUUUUUGUCCCUCUGAGCUCCUCCUCUUCAAUGCAGCAAGCUGAAGGGAAGUGAAUGGGGAAGUGUCACAGUGAGAAUUCCUGAGAAAUUCCAUCUCUGUGAGAGUAAAAUUUUCCAUGCUUUGUUUCA
Molecule: long non-coding RNA, 1996 nt
Organism: Catharus ustulatus (Swainson's thrush)
Lineage: Eukaryota; Metazoa; Chordata; Aves; Passeriformes; Turdidae
Exons: 2
Source: RefSeq, a predicted model, not a curated record